RNAcentral lists this long non-coding RNA (6146 nucleotides) under Brassica napus (rape). RNAcentral describes it as "long non-coding RNA (BNAP_LNC010848)". The record is from RNAcentral. Lineage: Eukaryota; Viridiplantae; Streptophyta; Magnoliopsida; Brassicales; Brassicaceae.
UAUUAUUCGUUUUGUAGUUUUCGAACUGAAAAUUAAGAAUUUUUUUUAUUCUAUAAUAUAGAUAAUAAAGAGGUUUUCCCUCUUCUUUCUAGAGAGAAAAUUCUCCAUUCUUUCUCUUUCUUCACGAUACAAAAUCUUUUAGAAAGGUAAAGAAAUCGUUUUGUUCUUUUGUUGUAAUAUAGUUUCAAUCUUAGGAUCGAUGUUUUAUUCCGAUUAGCGGAUUCUAAAUUUCGCGUUAAACCAAACUUGGAUCUGUCUUCAUGUUCUUCAAUCUUAUUUUCCAGUUUUAGUUUAAAAUUUAAUAAAUUUUGAUCAUGUUUUCGGUUUGUCCGUUAGUAUAUAUAAGCUUAGCGACUUUUGUUUUGCUCUGAAUAAACUACUAUGAUCUGAUUAGAGUUUUUUAGUUAUAAUGAUCCUCCUCUUAUGCAAAUCCUUUGAAUCCCGUUUUGCUUGGAUCAAAACUUUUUCUUCAAAAGUUAUACACGGAUUCCUUCUAGACAAGAAUCAAUCUUUACUCAUCCAUAAAUAUGGAUUCGAUAGCACCAAAGAGUAAAGUAUUUUCGGUGGAAGUAAGAUGUGUUGUGAAAUAUUUCGGUUGAUUUAAGAGAGAUCAGUAGAGUUAGCAUCCUUGUUCGAGUUAGCAUCCCUUGAACAAGGAUGGUCUAACGAAGAUUCUGUAAACAAUAACAAGUCUAGAAGACAACAGUGAUAAGAGAUGAACAAAAGGUUUUCUAUAACUUCAUACUUUUAUUCAUUUUUUCUUUAGGAUAUACAUUAUGUCUCUUUUAUACUAGACUGCACACAGCUAGACCUAAAAGAAUAUACUGUGGAUAUUCUCCUACAGCUGUUCAACCUUAUCUCCAAGCACUGAAAACAUGUUCCUUGUCUUGAUUGCAGGCACCGUACUGUCCUUGGAGUUGCUUUCUGCUUUGUCUCUAGCGUUUAUGACUGUUGCUUUGUUGUUCUGUUGAGUGGGCUUCGAAAGCUUCUGGGCCUCAAGCCCAUUGUCGCUAAUAUCCCCUCGCAAACUCGAGGUGGGAGGACGUUCCACACCGAGUUUGAACCUUAGGUCCUUGAAGCUGUGUAUCGGUAGAGAUUUGGUAAAGAUAUCAGCUAUUUGCUGUGUUGCAUGUAUAUGCUUGACAACUAAUGAUCCUUUUGCCACUCUCUCCCGCGCAUAGUGGUAAUGUGUCUCAAAAUGUUUUGUUCUCUUGUGCAUAACCGGAUUUGCGGUGAGGUGCACUGCAGAGAGAUUGUCACAGUAGACUUCAGCUGGCCUGAUAUGCCUUAGACCCAUCUCUGCCAAAACUGCAUCUAUCCAAGACAAUUCUGCAGCCGUAUCAGAGAGUAACCUAUACUCAGCCUCGGUUGAAGAACGAGCAACCGAGUCUUGUUUUUGUGCUGACCAUGAGAUGAUAUUCGCACCAAGAAACGUACUGAAGCCGCCAGUGGAUCGUCUAGUAGUGUUGAACCCAGCCCAGUCGCUGUCACAGUAGGCUCGUAGAGUUGAAUCAAUAUCAGACUGUAGAGUAAGGCCCAUGUUGAUCGUUCCUUUCAGAUACCUCAAUAUACGCUUCAGAAGCUGAAAAUCAGAGACUGUGGGCUGAUGCAUCUUUUGACACACAUAGUUCACUGCAAAUUGAAGAUCAGGGCGCGUCAGAGUUAAGUAUUGAAGUUUGCCGGCGAGGCUCCGGAAAUAUGUUGGUUCCGAGAACAAUUCAUCCUGAUGUGGAACUCGGUUCAACUGAAUAGGGAGAGGGGUUGGCAUUGGCGAACAGUCAAGCAUGGCCGCCGAUUGUAAAAGAUCCAUAGCGUACUUUUCUUGGUUGAGGAAUAGACCUGACGAAGUAGUGGUUGCUUUGAUUCCAAGGAAAUAACUGAGAGGUCCCAUAUCUUUUAUUCUGAAUCUUGUACCAAGCUGACCAACAAACUCUGCGACAAAGGAUUUGUUGUUCCCUGUUAGAGUCAUAUCAUCAACAUAUAAGAGAAGGAGCAUCAUGUUUUUUCCAUCUGAGUAAAUGAACAGAGAAGGAUCUCGCGUACAACACUUGAAACGAAACUCAAUCAGAUAGGAGCUAAGUUUAUCGAACCACACCCGGGGAGCCUGUUUCAGACCGUAAAUUGCCUUUUUCAGCUUAAACACAUAGUCAGGAUGAUCCUUGCUUUCGAACCCCGGUGGCUGUCGCAUGAAAAUUGUUUCUUGAAGAUCCCUGUGUAAGAAAGCGUUCUUGACAUCAAGUUGCUUGAUCUCCCACUUUGAGAUCACAGCUAAAUGAAACACCAACAGCACCAUUGCAGUGCGAACCAUAUGACUAUAUGUCUCCCAAAAACCAAUGCCUUCUUCUUGCUCAUUCCCUUUUGCUAUAAUCUCACUCUCAGACACUUGACUGUGCCAUCCGCAUUUAGUUUGACUUUGUAGAUCCAUCUACAGCCAAGUAAGUGAACAUCUUGUGGGCGUGGCACUAGAAUCCAUAUCUCAGUUUCUUCGCAAGUACCUAUCUCUUCUCCCAUCGCAGCAUGCCAACCCUCAUGCGCAAGUGCUUCUGCGACAGUCCUUGGCUCUGUUGGAGUCCCUUUCACUGUGACCAUCACUUAUCUUGGAUUUGGUUUUGAAAUGCAUGCCUUUCUUCUCCAAAUCAUCAGGUGAGUGGUCUCAGUUAUUUGCUCUAGUUGAGAAGAUGUAGGCAUGACAGUCAUGUCUUCUUCUGAAGUUGAGUCGGAAUGAUCUUCUUCGUGCUGCAUGUUUGUAUCACCCGAGACUUGUUGAGUUGGCGAAGCAGGCAUAGGGAUGGUAGAGACAUCUGAUUUACCGAUGUGUUUUGUAGGAAUCUCUUCUUCUUCUUUUGCCUUCUUCUCAGAGGAGAUUCUUAAGUCCUCUUGCUCACCAGACCGCUUACACCAGGCUUGUAGCAGAGGAGUUUCAGCCUGUGGAAUGUAGUGUUUGUACACGUCCACAAAAGGAAAAUUUUCCUCAUGGAAGACCACGUGCCUGCUAAGAUACACUCUUCCUGUGGGAGGGUAGAGAUACCGGUACCCCUUGUAUUGUUCUGAGUAUCCUAAGAACACACACAUAAGUGACUUAGGAUCAAACUUAUGGUGAGAAUAAGGCUUCAGAUAAGGGUAGCAGACACAUCCCAGCACUCGGAGAGAAGAGUAAUCAGAGGCUCUUCCACGAAUCUGUUCAUAAGGACUCAUUGCUUUGUUAUGAACAGAACUUGGAAGCAGAUUGAUAAUAAAAUUUGCAGUGAGGAAAGCACCAACCCAGAGUGUUGGAGGUAGAUGUCCUUGAAACAUCAUAGACAUUUUGAGCUCCGUGAUGUGACGAUGUUUUCUUUCUGCUAACCCGUUCUGUUCAGGUGUGUGAGGGCAAGAUAAGUAAUGUUUGAUCCCACACUUCAUCAGAUGACUCGAGAAUUCUUGAUUCACAAACUCUCUUCCACCAUCACUUUGAAAAAUACUAAUUCUUUGAUUAAACCAGUUUUCAGACUGUUGUUGAAAGAUUUUGAACUUAGACAACACAUCAGACUUUAACUUCAAAGGAUAAAGCCAACUGAAUCUUGAGAAGUUAUCAAUAAAGACCACAUAAUAUCUGAAACCUAGACCUGACAAUCUAGAAGCAUGAAAAACAGACUCAACAAAAGGAAGCUUAGAUGAUUUUCCUAAACGACAGGCUUCACACGCAGACUGAAGACUCUUAUUGAUGGUGAUUUCCUUUAUUGAAGAUAGAUGCUAAAAGAUUUGGUAAUGAGCAUGCCCCAACCUCCUAUGCCAAACCUGAUCAGACACCGGUCUUUGUCUUGAGGAGUAGAAGGCUUGAAAUAGAGGAUUGCUCAACAGGUACAGACCGUUAGUUUUGUUUCUAUGACUGAGGACCUGCUUGGUGGUUUUGUCCUUAACAAACACAUGAGUAGAGUCAAAUGUGAACUCACAAGAAGGAUAAUCAUCAGUAAAUUUAGACACUGACAGUAAAUAUUUAGUUAUAUCGGGGCAUACUAACACAUCAUUGAGAUCCAGUUUACCUGCAGCCGAGGGAAGUGGUAUUGAACCGAUGUGCGUAAUAGGCAAGAAGUCUCCAUUCCCGACAAUCACUGAAUCAGAACCUUCAUACGGGAGGGCAGAGAAGAAGUGGUGUGGAUCGUUGGUCACAUGAUGAGUGGCAGCAGUAUCUGUGUACCAGCUUGGACCAGAACCUCCUGCACCAUCAGACAAUCGCAUAGUAGCCAGAGCAUUCUUCAUUGCCUCCACAUUGUACGUCUGAUCAAACCGCUUGAAACACUUGAAAGCUGGAUGACCAUACUUUCCACAAAUCUGGCAAGUUGGUCUAUGAUCAUUAUCAGAAGUUGUUCCUCUUCCUUCUUGUUGUCCAAACUGCUGAGGGAAACCUCUUCCUGCAGUCGUGUAUGAGCCUCUGCCUCUGUAGCCCCCUCGGUAUUGUCCUCUGCUACGACCAAAGUAUCCUCCCCGGUUAGUGUAGAAAGCUUGGUGUUGAGUAGCUUCUGGUGCUGUCUCAUACUUCUGCAGCUUGUCUUCAAAACCAGUAAGCUUGAACAUCACAUCAUCAAGACUAGGACCAGGGAGAGUGUCUAUUAAGUCUUCUAUCACAGUUACAAUGGCCUCAUAUUCACGUCCCAAACCAUUAAGUACUCCAAAAAAUUUCUCUUGUUCAGAAAUAAGAGCUCCAAUGGAGUCAAGUUGAUCACACAGAGACUUGAUUUCAGACAAAUACUGAGAGAGAGACUUGGAACCUUUUGUGGUGGUCUGAAUGCGUCGCUACAUGUCAAGGCGUCGAGUAGCAGAGACUAUGUUAUACUUCUUCGCCAGAGCAUACCAGAUGUCUUGAGAUGAGUGAAGACCAUACACGCACUUCAGGGCUUCUUCAGAGAGGGAACCAAUCAACCAAGCCAUGAUGAGAUGAUCUGUAUGAACCCACUUGAGGAAGUCAGAGUUACUUGCUUCUGUAGUUUGGUCUCCAUUGCGCACCAUGAGUGUUGGUGGAGGUCGUGGUAAGGCUCCAGUGACAUAACCUAACACGAGCUGACUGUAAAGAAACUGCUCAAACUGCAACUUCCAAGACAGAUAGUUUGUGUCGCUGAGCUUCAGCAUCACCACGUGAGUGAUUGAGAGAAUGGCCGGAGUAAAGACGUCGGAAGGUGUUGGAGCCGCCAUGGUUCUGAUACCAUGUAAAAAAUAACAAGUCUAGAAGACAACAGUGAUAAGAGAUGAACAAAAGGUUUUUUAUAACUUUAUACUUUUAUUCAUUUUUUCUUUAGGAUAUACAUUAUGUAUCUUUUAUACUAGACUGCACACAGCUAGAUCUAAAAGAAUAUAUUCUGGAUAUUCUCCUACAGCUGUUCAACCUUAUCUCCAAGCACUGAAAACUUGUUCCUUGUCUUGAUUGCAGACACCAUACUGUCCUUGGAGUUGCUUUCUGCUUUGUCUCUAGCGUUUAUGACCGUUGCUUUGUUGUUCUGUUGAGUGGGUUUCGAAUGCUUCUGGGCCUCAAGCCCAUUGUCGCUAAUAGAUUCUACUCUUUCGGUUUUUUUUCUUGCUUUAUCAACCAGAGCGGAUAGAAGCUUUGAUCUAAAGUAGCGGUUAUGGUGGAAGAUCAGAGAUGAAUGAGUACAAGGACAGAGGGUAGCAGCUGAGUGGUGAAGCACAUGUUGGAAGACGCGGUGGUUUGAAGAUGAGAACUACCGGCAGCGAUUCUAUGGUUAAUCUCGAUUUGCAUGUAUUACUUUUGCCACCUAGCUUAAUGUUCUUUAUUCUGUUUACACGUGUAUCUGUGUUUGUACCACGCGAUGAGCAAAAAAUUGUACUCUUUGUAAUCGAAUCAAAAAUGUUGAAUUAAAAAAAAGAUAAUAAAGAAUAUAUUAUUCGUUUACCACCAAAUAUGGUAGAUCGGUUGGCUUAAAUGCAGAUAUUGAUGUAUUGUGCUCCUAGUUCACAAUAGGUGGGAAGAGUAGAUUAGCAUAUCAGUUUAAUGUCAAAAACUGGUUCGGGAAUGAAGGAAAAAUUAAGAUCGGAAGACCCAAUUCCUCUUGAAAUAAAAAUAAAUCAAGUUUUUGCUUUGUUUCUUUCAUAUAAACAUAUAUAAUCAGCUUUGAUAAAAAAAUAUAUAUGUAUAUAUAUAAUCAGCUAUAGUUAUU